Long non-coding RNA from Papaver somniferum (opium poppy), 1090 nucleotides. RefSeq lists it as uncharacterized. NCBI's taxonomy places the organism in Eukaryota, Viridiplantae, Streptophyta, Magnoliopsida, Ranunculales, Papaveraceae. The record is from RefSeq and is a predicted model, not a curated record. The transcript has 3 exons.
UCUCUCAUCUUUCUUCCCUAAUAAACAAAAACAUUCCUUUUUUUGUUGUUAUGGAUUUCCUAAAAUAUAAAGAUAGAUGAACUGUUUGGAUUUUACUAUAAAACAGGUUUGAUUUAGCUGAAAGAUUUUCGGAAUAUUUUUUUUUGAGGUUGAACGGUUGAAUCUGGGGUAAUGAGAAGAUCCAAUGGCUGUUAGUGAAUGUAUAUGUCGAUCCAAACAUUUUAAUUUUCCUUGUUAAGAAGUAUCUUGGAUGUAAUUUUCGAUUUCGGGGGAGAAUAAUAUUUUCACUUAUUUGGAAAGAAGAUAUGGAUAAACAGAAGAACCUUAAUUCUAUAUCAAAAUCAGAGAAAUUCAAAUUAAGAAACCAUUUCGAUUUUGGUUAAUCUUCAAAUUUUUUUGGGGCCAUGUAAAUCAAAAGGAAAAAAAGUUGGGUGGUAUUCUUUCCCGCUUGAUCUUCCAUUUUCUCUACUAUAAAUACAACCCCAAAGUUGUGAAGUUAUCAAAAGAUACUAAUUGAAGGUGAAACAUGGUUAACAACAAUGAACAACCAGCUCUAGCAACAUCAUCUUCUGAGGGCACAACACCCACAUCAAGAAAAGUGAGGGGUCCGAGAAAGAGGGCUGAAGCUAGAUGCAUUGACUGUAGCCAAUAAAGGAAAGCUUUGUGUUAACUUCUCAUAAUUAUAAGAAAAGUCGGACUGCGAAAUGCUAGUCCACUCGCAAGCGAGUGUGGGGUAAUUGUUCGCUCCCUUGCCUCGUUACGACACAAGUCAUGGACCAAAAUACCUCUCCGCGAGAGAGAUGCAUUGAUUGAAAGCCUCAAGGUAAUGCAUUUCUGAAAGAAGACAGUGAAAAGGUCAUAAGAAAACUGGAAGAUAUGAUGAUACGUUCUCUCGGGCUGAACAACAUUACCGCGUGGAACUAAAAGUUGAAUGUAGUCACAUUAAUAAUUUGGUGUUUAGUAUUUUUUUUCUCUUUUCUAGUAGUGAUGUUUAUUUAUUCAUUUACUGGUAGAGUUUAUUUAUCAGAUUUUUUUUAGUUUGGAUUUUGUAUUAACAAUUUAUUUUAAUGGGCAAUUAUUUUUUAUUCAA